UCUCAUAGAAGGACAUCUAGACCAGACCACCCUACGACCUUGAGGUGUCGUUGCUGGACCCAUACAUCAUUGGACCACGGACCUGCUCACGCUCUGCUGCGUCGAAGUGGCGGUGCAUCUCUGAGAUCCUCUCAGGGUUGUGAGCUCUCACAGCCAUGUUCUGCUGCUGUGACCCAUCUGAUCUAGGCUUCUUGUCGGUCAGGGACUCCUCAUCCCCCUCGGCUUCGGAUUCAGCGUUAUUUGGUAGAGAAGAAGCUGCUUGCUUCCGCUUCGAGCGUGCACGUCUGUUUUGGAACCAGUUGUAGACGUUGGUCUCCGAGAUCUGGCCAUGCUGCGAGAGCUCCGCUGUGAUGUCUUUUAUCUUCUGCUUGCUUGGUGUUCCAUUUCCUUGGUUGAAAACGAUCUCGAGGAUCUGCAGCUGCAUCUGGGUUGGUGUCCAUCGCUGCCUCGCUGUGAUCUUCUGGCCUCCAUGAACCAUUAGAGGAUCACAGUACAGAUUACCAAGACUCAUACCUGAAAGAAAUAAAGAGAUCUUAGUUGACUACACAAAGAAAAUAAACUAAAUGCUAAAAUACAAUAGACCAAGAGAAAAAGUGAGAAUGUGCAGAGGCUCAGCAAACUGUAUUUCGGGAGCUUGUCUAAAACAACUCCUGCCAUAGGUCCGUGUUUCAGGAGUGCCAUAAAAGCACAAUCUUUCAGCGGUACUUGUGAAUUAUCAUAAAAAUAUAUCCUAGGAUGGUUCAAAAAUUACUAAUGUUUCAGUACCAAAUGGGCAAGUGUGCAAAUCGUAUGUAAGUCGUAAAAUUAUUGGGAUGACAGAAUAAGAAUUAGUGUUGGACCCAGUAGAAAGAUAAUUAGGUACGUAACAUGCUAUGAAAUUCCUGCAUGUCAGAAUUGAGGAACCAUUCGCGUGAUGGUUGAAUCUCUCACAUCAGAGUAUGGGAGGAGAGAUGUUGUACUACUCCUCGCUCUUUUGUAGCUCAAUGGAUAUGCAGGCAGAAUUGAGGAAGAAAAAAUGUGGGCCUUUUUGAGUGAGGGAGCUCGCUGGCGGAGUGCGGCUUGAGGUGAGGAGGUCCGAGAUGUCAUGGCGGGGCGAGGAUGAGGUACGUAGGGCAACAGCAACUGCGGCGGGCGGCCGAGGACUGAGAUGGUGGCGGCGGCGGCCAAGACGCACGUAUGUAAGUACAAUUCUGCGAGAGGACCCCAUAGUCAUAGACAUCGGCGCACGCCGUUUCAUAUUCUCCUUCUCGUUUGAAAUUUUGCACAGAAAAAGAACAGAUUUUGUGAAAAAUAAACCCUUUCCCUUCUCAUUUGUUAAAAUAAAAGCACAACUAACAAAGCCAACAGAUAAAAAAGAGUCUACAACAACAAAUUCUAGCUAGUUCUAGAAUGAACAGACAUGCAUGUUAAGAAAAAGAAAUUUGUCAACAGUUAGGAAAUCUCGUUGUCACCAAGAUAAAGGCGUCGGUCGGUCGGUUUUCAAGUCAUAUAUGAACUUGUACUACUUAUAAUGAACCAACAUAUUGAUUGACCUCAUAUGAUAAGAUUAAACUAGGCUCAUGCCAUGGUAUACAUCGAUCUCAAAUGAAUUUGAGCAAUACAUAUUGAUCGACCAUAUGUUAUCAUUAACAGGGAGGGGAGGCGAUGGUACAGUACCUGCAGCAGCUGGCAUGAGAUAGCUGGAGAUGCUGGUGGCCAUGUAGGAGCUGGGUCUUUGCAUGUCGAAUUCCUGCACGUCCAGCAGCGUCUUCUGGUUGAGGUCAAGAGCAAUCACCUUCGACGUCCUGGUGUUGGUGUUUUCGCUGCUGGCAUUGGUCAAGAGGUAGAGGACGCCAUCACUGUGGGAGCUGAGGAUGGGGUUGGAAACAAAGAGAGACUGGGGCAGGUUGUAGCCGUGGAUAUCUCCAGAAUGGAUCUCGUGCUCCUGCCGGAAAAACAUGGCGUCCAGACCGCCAUUGAGCCCCUCCAAGGUCCACGUGACCACCGUCCAGCCGCUAGGCGUUUGCGAGCGCGGGCUGGGUUCGGCGUGGACCUGAAGGUCGACGAACCUGAUGAUGCCCCGGAACGGCGGAUGGUGAUGACCUUGCUGGACACAAAGUCGUCAGGCGGCGGUGGCUGUGGAGAGGCAGUGGGCGUGCGUCUCCACCGAGGGUCCUUGGAGUCGUAGGUGCACAGGUAGUAUCCGGAAUGGCCGGGGUGGAAAGGGUCGUAGGCGAGCGCCGCGAUCCUGUAGGCAUCACAGGCAUCAUCCUUGGGGCUGUUGCUGUGGUAACGCAAGACACCGAUACUGCCGGUAGGGAAGCAGCGAGUUCCAAAAGCUGGCAGCAUGUCGGGUUGGGGCCGCGGGAGCCGGGUGAGCUCCGGCGACCCCGCCGGCGAGGCUGCUGCCUGGUAGAGGAAGUAGUCGUAGUUGCUGUUUUCGCCGUAGAAGGCACGGUUGUGGCCGUGGCAGAGGGUGAGGAGGGCAAGGUCGCCCGCCGUGGCGAUCAUCCAAGGCUCGCGGACGAACAGGCGGGGGGCGUCUUCUUGUUCCCGGUGCUCGUCGUCGGCGUCGUCGGUGCGGUUAGCGGAGCAGCAGAAGUAGGAGACGCGAGGCGGCGGCGCCAUGAACAGGCUCACCUGCAUCUCCACCUUCACCUCCCUGCCGCGCAGGUUCCUCCGGAAUCGAUGGCAGGCGGAGGUAUGGUUUUUCUGGUGGUCUUUCUUGUCGACCAUGUAGGCGGAUCUGUCGAGGAGGGCUUCCCCCCAGUCCCACUCCCACUCCUCCGGCGCCGCCGCAUCGUACGCGGCCGGCGGAUGCAGCGAGGCUUCGUGGUAGCCUUUGAGCGACAUGGUGGACCUGGAUAUCACACAGACGACACAGGGUAUUUAGAUUAGAGGGGAGAAUAAGGAGGAGAAUAAGGUCGUAGUCGGAGCCGGAUUCAGGUACAAAGACGAGUCAGAGAGGAAACUGACUAUUUGUGUUCCAAGUUCCUUGCAACUUAAUUAUAACUACUAGUACAAAGUUGAUUUUGAUAAAAUAUUACAAAUGAGAUAUGCAGUGAGUUUUUGCCAUGCAGUGUACUGUACAACACAAUUUUGGCAUGUUAUGUACUCGUAUAUAUAAGUGUUUGCCAUGAUGUAUACUCCCUCCGUCCCAAAAUAGGUGUCUCAAGCUUAGUACAACUUUGUACUAGAGUUAGUGCAAAGUUGAGAAACUUAUUUGGGGACGGAGGGAGUGCAAAACAACAAUUUACGAUCUGCUACUAUAAAAAUGCCAAGAAAAUCAUGCCAUCAUAAAAAUUGCCAUGGGAAGUACUAGUAAAGAAGCAAAACUUAAGUUUUGCCGUAUGGUUAAUAAUAAACAUGAUGGCAAAUAUAUAUGCUAAGGGCAAAUGAUACUAUAUCAGCUUCUCAAACUACUUCCACGAGAAAAUCAAACGAAUUCCACUCGAGCUAAAUUACCCUCAGGAGGUCAACAAGAUCAUGAUAACCAACGCAUGCUGCCUUUUUUACAGGGGUAUGUUGUCAAAGUGCGACACACCGAACCGCGUGUGUCACCCAGACGGAUCCCACCCAGACAUGUCGAAGCUUUCGCCCGUCCGGUACUGGAAGAACUGGUCGAUUCCUGCACACACCAACCAAUAUCAGAUCAAAUUCAGUAGGUUCUCCAGUGGAGUUAUACUGAGAUGUGGUGUUUGCUCAACAUACUUGGAUUCUGACAUGACGUUCUCGUAGAAGGACAUCUGGCCCAGACCGCCCGACUAUCUCGAGGUGUCGUUGCUGGACCCAUACAUCGUUGGACCACAGACAUGCCCACGCUCUGCUGCGUCGAAGUGACGGUGCAUCUCCGAGAUCCUCUUGAGGUUGUGAGCUCUCACAGCCAUGUUCUGCUGCUGUGACCCGUCUGAUCUAGGCUUCUUGUCGGUCGGGGACUCCUCAUCCCCCUCGGCUUCGGAUUCGGCGUUGUUUGGUAGAGAAGAAGCUGCUUGCUUCCGCUUCGAGCGUGCACGUCUGUUCUGGAACCAGUUGUAGAUGUUGGUCUCCGAGAUCUGGCCAUGCUGCGAGAGCUCCGCUGUGAUGUCUUUUAUCUUCUGCUUGCUUGGUGUUCCAUUUCCUUGGUUGAAAAUGCUCUCGAGGAUCUGCAGCUGCAUCUGGGUUGGUGUCCAUCGCUGCCUCGCUGUGAUCUUCU
Molecule: long non-coding RNA, 4171 nt
Filed under: Triticum aestivum (bread wheat)
Lineage: Eukaryota; Viridiplantae; Streptophyta; Magnoliopsida; Poales; Poaceae
Description: long non-coding RNA (TAES_LNC026830)
Source: RNAcentral